RNAcentral lists this ribosomal RNA (488 nucleotides) under uncultured bacterium. RNAcentral's name for it is "partial 16S ribosomal RNA". It matches the Rfam family "Bacterial small subunit ribosomal RNA", at positions 30 to 523 of the family's 1533-position model. The record is from RNAcentral.
AUUGAACGCUGGCGGCAGGCCUAACACAUGCAAGUCGAGCGGGGUUUUCGGACCUAGCGGCGGACGGGUGAGUAAUGCGUAGGAAGCUACCCGAUAGAGGGGGAUACCAGUUGGAAACGACUGUUAAUACCGCAUAAUGUCUACGGACCAAAGUGUGGGACCUUCGGGCCACAUGCUAUCGGAUGCGCCUACGUGGGAUUAGCUAGUUGGUGAGGUAAUGGCUCACCAAGGCGACGAUCCCUAGCUGGUUUGAGAGGAUGAUCAGCCACACUGGAACUGGGACACGGUCCAGACUCCUACGGGAGGCAGCAGUGGGGAAUAUUGGACAAUGGGCGCAAGCCUGAUCCAGCCAUGCCGCGUGUGUGAAGAAGGCCUUCGGGUUGUAAAGCACUUUCAGUAGGGAGGAAGCGUUGUGUGUUAAUAGUACACAGCGUUGACGUUACCUACAGAAGAAGCACCGGCUAACUCUGUGCCAGCCGCCGCGGUAA